RNAcentral lists this unclassified non-coding RNA (1167 nucleotides) under Hevea brasiliensis (rubber tree). Lineage: Eukaryota; Viridiplantae; Streptophyta; Magnoliopsida; Malpighiales; Euphorbiaceae. The record is from RNAcentral.
GGCAAUGCCAUUCGAUCAGUGUUUGCAAUCUUAGACAGGAAAAGUGAGAUUGAUCCAAAUAACUCAUGGGGAUUAGACAUUAAAAAGGAGAUAAAGGGUCGUGUAGAUUUCAAAAAUGUUUUCUUCGCAUAUCCAACAAGACCUGAUCAGAUGAUCUUCUGUGGCCUGAACCUUAAAAUUGAUGCAGGAAAGACUCUGGCACUAGUAGGGCCAAGUGGUUCCGGAAAAUCUACUAUCAUUGCCCUUAUAGAGAGAUUCUAUGAUCCAUUGAAAGGAUCAAUUUUAAUCGAUGGACAGGACAUAAAGAACUACAAUUUGAAGAUGCUUAGAUCUCAUAUUGCAUUAGUCAGCCAGGAACCAACCCUGUUUGCUGGAACUAUCAAGGAAAACAUCACUUAUGGUAAAGAGGAUGUCCGAGAAUCUGAAAUAAGGACGGCUGCAGUUCUUGCAAAUGCACAUGAAUUUAUCAGUGGAAUGAAAGAUGGAUACGACACAUACUGUGGAGAAAGAGGAGCUCAGCUAUCAGGAGGUCAAAAACAAAGGAUAGCACUCGCUCGUGCCAUCAUCAAGAACCCCUCAAUCCUUCUGUUAGAUGAAGCUACUAGUGCACUCGACAGUGUCUCAGCAAGCCUAGUUCAAGAGGCACUUGAGAAGAUGAUGGUUGGCAGGACAUGCAUAGUUGUUGCCCACAGGCUAUCAACCAUACAGAAAUCCAACAACAUUGCAGUUGUCAAAAAUGGUAAGAUUGUAGAGGAGGGCUCGCAUAACGAACUUAUCUCAUUAGGUCGCGGUGGAGUAUACUAUUCUCUGAUAAAAGGGCAAGGCAGCAGCUCCCCUUAUCGCUGAAUCAGAAUGUUUGUGAAUGAGAAUCAAUGAUGCCACAAACAGUAUCUACCCUAUAAGUUUGGGCCCUAGCUUUGUAGAUUCAAGUUUGGCUUUUACCUGAAGAACAAUAAACUACUCGAGCUUGGUGAACUCAUGACACGGGUCUUGGUCGUGGUUUACUUGAAAGUUUAGUGGAUGGUGUUUAUGAAGGCUCCGAUUGUCAAUUUUGUAUUCAUGUUUUGUGUAUAUCUACAAAGCUUAUGGACAGUUGAAAACACUGAAUUACAUUGGGAUUUAGAUCACCAUAAGAAAAUGAAAUAUCCUGCUUUGCUGUCUUGCAUU